Molecule: ribosomal RNA, 403 nt
Filed under: uncultured bacterium
Lineage: Bacteria
Description: partial 16S ribosomal RNA
Rfam family: Bacterial small subunit ribosomal RNA
Source: RNAcentral
AUUGAACGCUGGCGGCAGGCCUAACACAUGCAAGUCGAGCGAGCGGCGGACGGGUGAGUAAUGUAUGGGGACUGCCCGAUAGAGGGGGAUAACUACUGGAAACGGUAGCUAAUACCGCAUACUAUCGGAUAACCCAUAUGGGAUUAGCUAGUAGGUGAGGUAAUGGCUCACCUAGGCGACGAUCCCUAGCUGGUCUGAGAGGAUGAUCAGCCACACGGGGACUGAGACACGGCCCAGACUCCUACGGAGGCAGCAGUGGGGAAUAUUGCACAAUGGGCGCAAGCCUGAUGCAGCCAUGCCGCGUGUAUGAAGAAGGCCUUAGGGUUGUAAAGUACUGUCAGUCGGGAGGCGUUACCGACAGACAAAGCGCCGGCUAACUCCGUGCCAGCAGCCGCGGUAAUUC